CAGCAUGUUUCCAAGGGCUGUGGCUGGUUGUAGCCAUGGGAUCUCCAACUGCAUGCCAGAGUAACUGGAGAGACUUUGACAGCGCAGGUCAGCACAGUGCCUGCAGCUGCCACUCAGCUUUCCUAUAUAU
This 130-nucleotide small nucleolar RNA is filed under the name Meriones unguiculatus (Mongolian gerbil). RNAcentral's name for it is "Small nucleolar RNA SNORA44 (ENSMUGG00000015990.1)". It matches the Rfam family "Small nucleolar RNA SNORA44". Rfam says of the family: ACA44 is a member of the H/ACA class of snoRNA that guide the sites of modification of uridines to pseudouridines. Lineage: Eukaryota; Metazoa; Chordata; Mammalia; Rodentia; Muridae. The record is from RNAcentral.